Molecule: ribosomal RNA, 581 nt
Filed under: Rhodotorula babjevae
Lineage: Eukaryota; Fungi; Basidiomycota; Microbotryomycetes; Sporidiobolales; Sporidiobolaceae
Description: LSU rRNA
Rfam family: Eukaryotic large subunit ribosomal RNA
Source: RNAcentral
UAGAUCUCAAAUCAGGUAGGACUACCCGCUGAACUUAAGCAUAUCAAUAAGCGGAGGAAAAGAAACUAACAAGGAUUCCCCUAGUAGCGGCGAGCGAAGCGGGAAGAGCUCAAAUUUAUAAUCUGGCACCUUCGGUGUCCGAGUUGUAAUCUCUAGAAGUGUUUUCCGCGUUGGACCGCACACAAGUCUGUUGGAAUACAGCGGCAUAGUGGUGAAACCCCCGUAUAUGGUGCGGACGCCCAGCGCUUUGUGAUACACUUUCAAUGAGUCGAGUUGUUUGGGAAUGCAGCUCAAAUUGGGUGGUAAAUUCCAUCUAAAGCUAAAUAUUGGCGAGAGACCGAUAGCGAACAAGUACCGUGAGGGAAAGAUGAAAAGCACUUUGGAAAGAGAGUUAACAGUACGUGAAAUUGUUGGAAGGGAAACGCUUGAAGUCAGACUUGCUUGCCGGAGCUUGCUUCGGUUUGCAGGCCAGCAUCAGUUUUCCGGGGUGGAUAAUGACGGUUUGAAGGUAGCAGUCUCGGCUGUGUUAUAGCUUUCCGUUGGAUACAUCCUGGGGGACUGAGGAACGCAGCGUGCUUUUU